RNAcentral lists this ribosomal RNA (526 nucleotides) under uncultured bacterium. RNAcentral describes it as "bacterial SSU rRNA". It matches the Rfam family "Bacterial small subunit ribosomal RNA", at positions 9 to 526 of the family's 1533-position model. The record is from RNAcentral.
GAGUUUGAUCCUGGCUCAGGAUGAACGCUAGCGGCAGGCUUAACACAUGCAAGUCGAGGGGCAGCAUAAUGGAUAGCAAUAUCUAUGGUGGCGACCGGCGCACGGGUGCGUAACGCGUAUGCAACCUACCUUUAACAGGGGGAUAACACUGAGAAAUUGGUACUAAUACCCCAUAAUAUCAUAGAAGGCAUCUUUUAUGGUUGAAAAUUCCGAUGGUUAGAGAUGGGCAUGCGUUGUAUUAGCUAGUUGGUGGGGUAACGGCUCACCAAGGCGACGAUACAUAGGGGGACUGAGAGGUUAACCCCCCACACUGGUACUGAGACACGGACCAGACUCCUACGGGAGGCAGCAGUGAGGAAUAUUGGUCAAUGGACGCAAGUCUGAACCAGCCAUGCCGCGUGCAGGGUGACGGCUCUAUGAGUUGUAAACUGCUUUUGUACGAGGGUAAACGCAGAUACGUGUAUCUGUCUGAAAGUAUCGUACGAAUAAGGAUCGGCUAACUCCGUGCCAGCAGCCGCGGUAAUUC